This is a non-coding RNA of Coffea arabica (coffee), 608 nucleotides long. Lineage: Eukaryota; Viridiplantae; Streptophyta; Magnoliopsida; Gentianales; Rubiaceae. The record is from RefSeq and is a predicted model, not a curated record.
CUCUCUCUCUCUCUCUCUCUACAUUUCAAUGUAUCACUUGUUUAUACAUUGCUUUGAUAUUAAGAGUUCAACCAUGCUUGUUGGUAUGCAAGUUAGAUUAUGUCGUACUAAAAAUACAGGAGAAAUAUUUGCCUUGAAGAAAUUAAGGAAGUUAGAUAUGCUCAGGCAGGGACAGGUUGAGCAUGUUCGCUUUGAGAGGAAUUUGCUUGUAGAGGUUGACAGUCAGUGUGUAGUGAAACUUUUUAUUCUUUCCAAGAUUCAGAUUUUUUGUACCUUAUCAUGGAAUAUUUAGCUGGUGUGGACACCAUGACCUUGCUGAUGAGAGAGGAUAUUCUUUCUGAAGAUGUUGCCAGAUUCUACAUUACUGAAAGUAUUCUUGUUAUACAUUCGAUUCAUUAACACAAUUAUGUACAUAGGUACCAAUACAUGUGAUUGCAGUGUACUACCUUGUGUAUUGGAAAAUAUUCCUACUCUCCAAUUUCAUACUAUCUUGUGUGUUGGAGAGUGUAGCGUCUCUUUUUAAAUAUGUGGGUACACAAGACUAUUCCUCAAAUCAAUUUUGAAACAAAUACUUGGACUGCAUAGGUAGUGCCAAGUCUUUCUUUCCU